AUUGAACGCUGGCGGCAGGCCUAACACAUGCAAGUCGAGCGGAUGAAGGGAGCUUGCUCCUGGAUUCAGCGGCGGACGGGUGAGUAAUGCCUAGGAAUCUGCCUGGUAGUGGGGGAUAACGUCCGGAAACGGGCGCUAAUACCGCAUACGUCCUGAGGGAGAAAGUGGGGGAUCUUCGGACUUCACGGUAUCAGAUGAGCCUAGGUCCUAUUAGCUAGUUGGUGGGGUAAUGGCCUACCAAGGCGACGACGGGUAACUGGUCUGAGAGGAUGAUCAGUCACACUGGGACUGAGAGGAGGCCCCGGUGCCGACUGGAGGCAGCAGUGGGGAAGAUUGCACAAGGGGUGCCAGGCGUAUGCAGCGAGGCCGCGGGGGGGAAAACAGCCUUCGGGUUGAAAAAUCGCUGCGAUAGGGUAGAAGCCUGUUGUGACGGUACCUAGAGAAGAAGCACCGGCUAACUACGUG
Molecule: ribosomal RNA, 465 nt
Filed under: uncultured bacterium
Lineage: Bacteria
Description: partial 16S ribosomal RNA
Rfam family: Bacterial small subunit ribosomal RNA
Source: RNAcentral